AAGUCAUGAUGUGGACAAGUACUUAGCAAAUCCUUGAAUCUCUCCCAGAAAACCCAAAAAGUCUCUUCACCCUUCUACAUAAACUGAAUAAUCCGUUCUUGCAAAAAU
Small nucleolar RNA from Malania oleifera, 108 nucleotides. The record is from RefSeq and is a predicted model, not a curated record. NCBI's taxonomy places the organism in Eukaryota, Viridiplantae, Streptophyta, Magnoliopsida, Santalales, Ximeniaceae.